UACGGAGGGGGCUAGCGUUAUUCGGAAUUACUGGGCGUAAAGCGCACGUAGGCGGACUGGAAAGUUGGGGGGUGAAAGCCCCAGGGCUCAACCCUGGAACUGCCUUCAAAACUCCCAGUCUUAGGUCAAGAGAGGUAAUGGAAAUUCCGAGUGUAGAGGUGAAAAUUCGUAGAUAUUCGGAAGAACACCAGUGGCGAAGGCGACUUACUGGACACAUAUUGACGCUGAGGUGCGAAAGCGUGGGGAGCAAACAGG
This 255-nucleotide ribosomal RNA is filed under the name uncultured bacterium. Its description in RNAcentral is "partial 16S ribosomal RNA". It matches the Rfam family "Bacterial small subunit ribosomal RNA", at positions 524 to 776 of the family's 1533-position model. The record is from RNAcentral.